CUCAAAGAUUAAGCCAUGCAGGUCAAGUACACACGGCCGGUACGUGAACUGCGAAUGGCUCAUUAAUCAGUUAUGGUCCCUUUGAUCGCUCCACCCGGUACUUGGAUAACUGUGGCAAUUCCAGAGCUAAUACAUGCAAACGGGCGCCGACCUGCGCCCCCCCCGGGGGGUGCGGGGACGCGUGCAUUUAUCAGAUCCAAAACCCAUCCGGGGUGUCGGGGCUCCGGCCUCGCCCCCGGUCCCUUUGGUGACUCUAGAUAACCUC
RNAcentral lists this ribosomal RNA (265 nucleotides) under Neolissochilus hexagonolepis (copper masheer). RNAcentral's name for it is "partial 18S ribosomal RNA". It matches the Rfam family "Eukaryotic small subunit ribosomal RNA", at positions 36 to 263 of the family's 1831-position model. Lineage: Eukaryota; Metazoa; Chordata; Actinopteri; Cypriniformes; Cyprinidae. The record is from RNAcentral.